This 781-nucleotide ribosomal RNA is filed under the name uncultured bacterium. RNAcentral's name for it is "bacterial SSU rRNA". It matches the Rfam family "Bacterial small subunit ribosomal RNA", at positions 604 to 1397 of the family's 1533-position model. The record is from RNAcentral.
UUGGCUUAACUGGGAGAGGUCGUUCAAAACUAUCAGACUAGAGAGUGGUAGAGGAAGGCGGAAUUCCGGGUGUAGUGGUGAAAUGCGUAGAUAUCCGGAGGAACACCAGUGGCGAAAGCGGCCUUCUGGACCAAUUCUGACGCUCAGACGCGAAAGCUAGGGUAGCGAACGGGAUUAGAGACCCCGGUAGUCCUAGCCGUAAACGAUGUAGACUUGGCGUUGGUGGGGUAAAAUCCAUCAGUGCCGAAGCAAACGCGAUAAGUCUACCGCCUGGGGACUACGGCCGCAAGGUUAAAACUCAAAGGAAUUGACGGGGCCCCGCACAAGCAGCGGAGCGUGUGGUUUAAUUCGAUGAUACACGAAGAACCUUACCAGGGUUUGACAUGCUGGUGGUAGCGAACUGAAAAGGGAGCGACCCUUCGGGGAGCCAGCACAGGUGCUGCAUGGCUGUCGUCAGCUUGUGUCGUGAGAUGUUCGGUUAAGUCCGCUAACGAGCGCAACCCCUGUUGUGUGUUACAUGUGUCACACGAGACUGCCGGUCCUAAACCGGAGGAAGGUGGGGAUGACGUCAAGUCAGCAUGGCCUUUAUGUCCUGGGCUACACACACGCUACAAUGGCCAGUACAAUAGGUAGCGAAGCCGCGAGGUGGAGCCAAUCCUUAAAGCUGGUCUCAGUUCAGAUUGCAGGCUGCAACUCGCCUGCAUGAAGUUGGAGUUGCUAGUAACCGCAGGUCAGCCAUACUGCGGUGAAUACGUUCCCGGGGCUUGCACACACCGCCCGU